RNAcentral lists this ribosomal RNA (644 nucleotides) under uncultured fungus. RNAcentral describes it as "LSU rRNA". It matches the Rfam family "Eukaryotic large subunit ribosomal RNA", at positions 23 to 664 of the family's 3401-position model. The record is from RNAcentral. Lineage: Eukaryota; Fungi.
ACCCGCUGAACUUAAGCAUAUCAAUAAGCGGAGGAAAAGAAACUAACAAGGAUUCCCCUAGUAACGGCGAGUGAAGCGGGAAGAGCUCAAAUUUGAAAUCUGGCACUUUCAGUGUCCGAGUUGUAAUCUCGAGAAGUGUUUUCCGCGCCGGACCGCAUACAAGUCUGUUGGAAUACAGCGUCAUAGUGGUGAGAACCCCGUAACUGAUGCGGAUGCCCGGUGCUUUGUGAUACACUUUCGAAGAGUCGAGUUGUUUGGGAAUGCAGCUCAAAAUGGGAGGUAAAUUCCUUCUAAAGCUAAAUAUUGGCGAGAGACCGAUAGCGAACAAGUACCGUGAGGGAAAGAUGAAAAGCACUUUGGAAAGAGAGUUAACAGUACGUGAAAUUGUUGGAAGGGAAACGCUUGAAGUCAGACUUGCUAUUCGGAGUUCAGCCGCAAGGUGUAUUCUUCGAUUUGCAGGCCAGCAUCAGUUUUCGGGGAUGGAAAAUCGUGGUUUGAAGGUAGCAGCUUCGGCUGUGUUAUAGCUUUCCACUGGAUUCAUCUUUGGGGACUGAGGAACGCAGCACGCUUUUUGCAAGGCCCUCGGGCUUUUCGUGCUUAGGAUGCUGGUGGAAUGGCUUUAAACGACCCGUCUUGAAACACGG